RNAcentral lists this long non-coding RNA (787 nucleotides) under Cyanistes caeruleus (blue tit). RNAcentral's name for it is "lncRNA (ENSCCEG00000014231.1)". The record is from RNAcentral. Lineage: Eukaryota; Metazoa; Chordata; Aves; Passeriformes; Paridae.
AGCUGUAAGUAAAAAUCCUGUUGCUUCAGCAGGUCUAACCAGUUUCGUAAAGGGCUUAUAUUUUCUGUAAUGCUACUUCAGGCAGCAAACUUUAAACAGAUUUUUGUUUAAAUAACAUUUAAUGCAAUUCAUGUCGUUAUUCAUUGAAAUUAUUUGGAACAAGAAUUUUUAGCAAAAUUAUAUUUCACUUACAGAUAAAUCCUAUCUUGAAAACUCUUUUGUCAAACAGAUCUCCCUGAAAGCAAUGCUAACACAGCAACUGUGGUGCUGCUUAGAAGGUUGAAUUUCUGUGAAUAUCCAACAAAAUCAUUUUGGCUGUCUCCAAGAGAGCACUAUGUGAGCCAGCUGUCCUGGAUUCCUCCUGCUGUCAACAGUUAAGCAGCAGGUAUUUUGGAGAGGGGAGUCAUUAGGCCUCAUUCAAAUCUAUUGAAUGGUUUUAUCUUGGAAAAGAUUUCUAUUUUCAUUGUGUCUGUGUGCAUGGAGUGUCUGUGACUGACUUUGCAUUGAAGAUGUAACUCUGCUAAAACCAUCUGUGAAAAUAUUAGGAGAAUGGGUCAGCUUCUUUCUUGCAGGGUCACAUGCUGCUGUCCAACUAGUCAAAACUAACACUGCAGCUGAAACAAGCAGCCUGUCUGCUCUGUGAGGUGUGUCAGCUCUUCUCAAAGCACUGUUCCCACCCUCGACUAAUCUAGAAUGAUUUGGUCUGAUCUGGAGAGACUAACUGAAGAGGGUCUUUGCAUGAAGCAGUAGAUAAGACUGUCAUCUCCUAAUGAAUUUGAGGUAGCAU